GUGGCAGCCGCCGCGGUAAUACGGAGGGGGUUAGCGUUGUUCGGAAUUACUGGGCGUAAAGCGCGCGUAGGCGGAUUGGAAAGUUGGGGGUGAAAUCCCCGGGCUCAACCUGGGAACUGCGUUUAUGACUGGCAGGCUAGAGUAUGGCAGAGGGGGGUGGAAUUCCACGUGUAGCAGUGAAGUGCGUAGAGAUGUGGAGGAACACCGAUGGCGAAGGCAGCCCCCUGGGCCAAUACUGACGCUCAUGCACGAAAGCGUGGGUAGCAAACAGGAUUAGAUACCCUAGUAGUCCACGCCCUAA
RNAcentral lists this ribosomal RNA (301 nucleotides) under uncultured bacterium. Its description in RNAcentral is "bacterial SSU rRNA". It matches the Rfam family "Bacterial small subunit ribosomal RNA", at positions 505 to 805 of the family's 1533-position model. The record is from RNAcentral.